UUUUUUUUUUUUUUUUGGUUCUGGAAUCAGAAUAUCAAUAUGAAAUUAUGAAUGGUGUUUUAUUUUUGUGUGACUAUUUCUUCUAUUAUGUAAUAUUUUUUUCUGUUAUAGGUUAAAUAUUUGUUAUUUAAAUGAUAAAUGAUGUUUUAAUGUAGAAAAAACAAACAUAUUUGUGUAAAAACUAUUAACAUCACUUAAGCAAAGAAAGUAUAUAAAUAUUAUGAAAUUACUGUCUAAAAGAUUACUAUUUCAUGUGAGAUAGAAGUGGUUUAAAGUCAACUAAUUGUUACGAUUCUUCAUGUAUAUAUAGAAAAAAUCGACACUCUGUAAAAAAAAACAAAAAGUC
RNAcentral lists this long non-coding RNA (346 nucleotides) under Capsella rubella. Its description in RNAcentral is "long non-coding RNA (CRUB_LNC004848)". Lineage: Eukaryota; Viridiplantae; Streptophyta; Magnoliopsida; Brassicales; Brassicaceae. The record is from RNAcentral.